AACAAGAAAGGCUUUUUCUAAAGCUGGUGCAGCCGUUGACUACCCGAAACCAAUCGUGGUAUUUGGGAGAGCUUUUUUUUUUUUUAAAGGCGAGAGGUGGGGGAGGGGUAGGAGGGAGAAGAUUCAGGGUGGUGAAAAAGCGUUUUUCCCGGAAGAGAUCCGGAGAUAGCAAAGCUUCCGCCACUCGUAGAGAGGGUAAUGGGAAACUACCAUUCCUGGGUGGAAGGAAAGUCUGAGUAGCCUCCGGGAGCGGUAGUCACCGCCUCACAGUCCUUUAACUGUGUACCAGCCCCCCACCCUCCUCGGUGGCAGCUCGGGCUCUCUCACUUCUUCCCUUCCCCCUCCGCCCCCUUCCGGCCUUAAGCAAAGGGCGAACCCGGCUGGGGUUUCACUCGAUGCCCACUAGGGGCUGAUGGGGUUUAGGAGUCUUAAGUGCGCAAGCUCCGGACACCGGAUAAAAGCGGAGCAGGCUGGGUCUCGAGCUGUCUUGAUGGAGGAGAAAGAAAAGGAAGAGACCAGGGGGUAGAAAGACUCUGCAAGAAUAAUACGGCCACCGUCAACGCUGCCACCGUGUUUCGGGCAGCGGGCGGGGCCGGAGCUGUCCGGGGAGGCUGGUGCAGAGGGAGAAAGGGAGAAGUGGUGAUGGCGACGGUUGCUGCGGCGGUCGCUGUGAGAUCUAAACAGUGGCGAUGGGGACCUCAAGCCUCUUCCUUGACCGGUUCCUCCUGGCCCCGCGCGAGGCCCAGCUCAAUGAACAUAUGCAUCAAAGUGGAUUGAGCAGAACCAGGAGAACAUUAUACAAAGUAACAACAAAAAUGAUCAACUAUGAUUGAUUAAGCUGUUCUCAGCAAUACAAUGAUCCAAG
RNAcentral lists this long non-coding RNA (865 nucleotides) under Sarcophilus harrisii (Tasmanian devil). RNAcentral's name for it is "lncRNA (ENSSHAG00000021423.1)". Lineage: Eukaryota; Metazoa; Chordata; Mammalia; Dasyuromorphia; Dasyuridae. The record is from RNAcentral.